This 906-nucleotide long non-coding RNA is filed under the name Mus spicilegus (steppe mouse). RNAcentral describes it as "lncRNA (ENSMSIG00000026327.1)". Lineage: Eukaryota; Metazoa; Chordata; Mammalia; Rodentia; Muridae. The record is from RNAcentral.
GUUUGAAUUCUGACAAAACAAUAAACAACCCUUAUUAUGGGUUCUUAUAAAUUUUACUACAAUUUUUCUCCCUUUCUCUUCUAGUGAUUUAGCGCGAGCCGGCAAGACAUAGAAGAGCCAUGAGUGACUAAGGAUCCAUUUGUGCUGAUUGAGGAGUUGCACAAACAGCCACAUUUCAGCACCGAGGGACAAAUGCCACUAUUACUUACAAAGUUAGGAGGAGAAGGUCAUUUCACCGUAGCUUUGGCAACCUGCCAGCCUGUCCUUGUGUAUCCUCUAGCAGUCUCCACACUCCAAGGAGUCCUCUUAACAGGUAUGCUGUUGGCUACCAACUGGUGUGCCUCUCUUCUCCACAGUCGCAGGGAUGCGGCACUUGAACUCUCAGACAAAAUCCCCAGAAAGUUCCUCCCUCAGCCAUCUGGGCAUGAGCUUGCAGCAGGUCCCUGGCGCAGCCUACGGCUUACUCUUUCUUCUGGUUGGUGCCAUCUCAUUUGUACCCCUCUCAAACAUCCCUACAGCAUCCACCAUUUCCUUAUAGCAUGGCCUGCCUAACCCUUUGGGUUUGUUGUACAAGUCCUCUUUGGGACACCAAACUUUAAUUGCCAGGGUCACCAGAUACACUGAACUCUUCUGGCCCAGUGACCUGUAGAAGAUGCCAGGCGAGAUCCUGCCCACUAUGAAAAGAAAACAAGGGGCUUUUAGAAAGGGACACAGUGAGUGAAGCUAUGUAUCAGAGGGUGGAUUUGGAGUGAAAAUCCAAGUAUGGCAGAGGAGAAGGGACUUUAUUGUAGAUAUGAGCCAGGCUAUAAGAUGAGAAAGAGGUGUGUGUGUGUGGGGGGUAUGGGGUACAUGCCAGCUAGGUUUGUACAGUGACAGAUCAUUUCCCAGGUCUUAAGUAAAGUCCCA